UGGGGAAUCUUGCACAAUGGAGGAAACUCUGAUGCAGCGAUGCCGCGUGAGUGAAGAAGGCCUUUGGGUUGUAAAGCUCUUUUGUAGGGGAAGAUAAUGACUGUACCCUAAGAAUAAGGUCCGGCUAACUUCGUGCCAGCAGCCGCGGUAAUACGAAGGGACCUAGCGUAGUUCGGAAUUACUGGGCGUAAAGCGCGCGUAGGCCGUUGAGUUAGUUAAUUGUGAAAUCCCAAAGCUUAACUUUGGAACUGCAAUUAAAACUGCUCGACUAGAGUUUGAUAGAGGAAAGCGGAAUACAUAGUGUAGAGGUGAAAUUCGUAGAUAUUAUGUAGAACACCAGUUGCGAAGGCGGCUUUCUGGAUCAACACUGACGCUGAGGCGCGAAAGUAUGGGUAGCAAAGAGGAUUAGAUACCCUCGUAGUCCAUACCAUAAACGAUGAUUGCUAGAUGUUGGAAAUUUAUUUUCAGUAUCGCAGCUAACGCAUUAAGCAAUCCGCCUGGGGAGUACGACCGCAAGGUUA
RNAcentral lists this ribosomal RNA (521 nucleotides) under uncultured prokaryote. RNAcentral describes it as "bacterial SSU rRNA". It matches the Rfam family "Bacterial small subunit ribosomal RNA", at positions 355 to 896 of the family's 1533-position model. The record is from RNAcentral.